This 368-nucleotide long non-coding RNA is filed under the name Bos taurus (domestic cattle). Its description in RNAcentral is "long non-coding RNA NONBTAT000037". The record is from RNAcentral. Lineage: Eukaryota; Metazoa; Chordata; Mammalia; Artiodactyla; Bovidae.
UGAAAGUAGGAAGCUAUUCUCAAAUUACUAAUUGUCAUUAAGAAGUCAUAUGCUUAUUCUGUAAGAAAGGCCCUCAUUCAACAUCUUGCUGGCUUGAAAAUAACACAGGAGGCAUGAAUGAUGAUUUUCUGACCCACAGCAAAAGAAACAGCUGGGGGGUGGGGGUGGGGCGGGUGAGGGGAGCAGAGGGGAAACAGGCUAACGAAUAGCCAGACAAAAGAAGAGAUUGCCUUAAAAGACCUAAAGUAAGAGACUGAGGCUGGUGUUCCUGUGAGUAUUGCCUUUUUUUCAGAUUGCUAUUUCAAACAAUAACCUUGAUUCUUAAAUCAAUUAUGUUCAUUAAUCUCUGUUUAAGAAGUUACAGAUAC